CAACAACUCUGGCUGGGAAGGAAACAUGAGCACAGCAGUGGAGAGCAUCCUAACUGAUAGCGGCAAACAGCUGUUGAAUCUGCGGUAAAAACACUCUAAAGACAGGAGGCAGUCUCUUCCAGCAUAAGAGGUGUUAAUCACGUACUAAGAACCGAACUUUUAAUUCAACCAGAAAGAUGUGGAAUUGGUUUCAUUCUGGGAGUUGAAAUUACAUCUUGUGGGUCAUCAUUAUGCAGCCAAGCCGUGUGAGGAGAUGUUUGGCCAGGAGUAUGGAAACCUAGGAGCAAACAGCAGGUAAUCAAAGAUGGCUGAAAGCAAAGAGGAUUCUGCCACUCAGCAGUGAUGGUGACACCAGUGAUUGAACUCUUUCUAUUUCAGAAGGAGGAAGUCUGAGGAAGCAGGCAUCAUCAUUCAGAGCAUGCUGGAGUCUGGAGAGCUGAGACUCAGAGAGACCAUUGAGAAGGGAGAUUAAUAGCAAAGGCAACAGAAAAAUAAGCCCUAGCUCAAGAUUUCAGCAGAGGUGGAAAUUGAGGCAAUGGAGAGAAGGAGAGGUGUUGACAGACUGUUUUACAAACAGGGCAGACGUGAGAAGAGUACAAGAACAAAGCGAACAAGGUUACAGUUAGUAGAAACAAAAGGGAGGGGGGGAAAAGGGUCAAGGAAGCAGAAUUAUUUUUGAAGAUGAUCAUUCAUUUAUUGUCUUGAAACAAGAAAGCACUUCCCUGGGGCAAGAGGA
This is a long non-coding RNA of Mauremys reevesii (Reeves's turtle), 736 nucleotides long. RefSeq lists it as uncharacterized. NCBI's taxonomy places the organism in Eukaryota, Metazoa, Chordata, Testudines, Geoemydidae. The record is from RefSeq and is a predicted model, not a curated record. The transcript has 4 exons.